This is a non-coding RNA of Pimephales promelas (fathead minnow), 184 nucleotides long. NCBI's taxonomy places the organism in Eukaryota, Metazoa, Chordata, Actinopteri, Cypriniformes, Leuciscidae. The record is from RefSeq and is a predicted model, not a curated record.
AGGAGAUCAUGGAAAAAAACUCACCUCAGUUUCAGUUUCAUUUUGAGGAGCACGGAUUCAGCUGAUGCAGGACAGACGAACACGCGUGUGUUUAUCCGGUGGAGAGAGGCUCAUGAUGCUGAAUGAUGUCAUCAAAGGCUUUGAAGCUUUUGUGGUGGAGCAAGACCUGCAAGGAAAGAUGAUG